This 72-nucleotide transfer RNA is filed under the name Pangasianodon hypophthalmus (striped catfish). Its description in RNAcentral is "tRNA-Glu". The record is from RNAcentral. Lineage: Eukaryota; Metazoa; Chordata; Actinopteri; Siluriformes; Pangasiidae.
UCCCUGGAGGUCCAGUGGUUAGACCACAGCACUCUCACCACUGCAGCCCGGGUUCGAUUCCCAACCAGGGAA